This 950-nucleotide ribosomal RNA is filed under the name Staphylococcus aureus. Its description in RNAcentral is "bacterial SSU rRNA". It matches the Rfam family "Bacterial small subunit ribosomal RNA", at positions 40 to 972 of the family's 1533-position model. The record is from RNAcentral. Lineage: Bacteria; Bacillati; Bacillota; Bacilli; Caryophanales; Staphylococcaceae.
CGGCGUGCCUAAUACAUGCAAGUCGAGCGAACGGACGAGAAGCUUGCUUCUCUGAUGUUAGCGGCGGACGGGUGAGUAACACGUGGAUAACCUACCUAUAAGACUGGGAUAACUUCGGGAAACCGGAGCUAAUACCGGAUAAUAUUUGAACCGCAUGGUUCAAAAGUGAAAGACGGUCUUGCUGUCACUUAUAGAUGGAUCCGCGCUGCAUUAGCUAGUUGGUAAGGUAACGGCUUACCAAGGCAACGAUGCAUAGCCGACCUGAGAGGGUGAUCGGCCACACUGGAACUGAGACACGGUCCAGACUCCUACGGGAGGCAGCAGUAGGGAAUCUUCCGCAAUGGGCGAAAGCCUGACGGAGCAACGCCGCGUGAGUGAUGAAGGUCUUCGGAUCGUAAAACUCUGUUAUUAGGGAAGAACAUAUGUGUAAGUAACUGUGCACAUCUUGACGGUACCUAAUCAGAAAGCCACGGCUAACUACGUGCCAGCAGCCGCGGUAAUACGUAGGUGGCAAGCGUUAUCCGGAAUUAUUGGGCGUAAAGCGCGCGUAGGCGGUUUUUUAAGUCUGAUGUGAAAGCCCACGGCUCAACCGUGGAGGGUCAUUGGAAACUGGAAAACUUGAGUGCAGAAGAGGAAAGUGGAAUUCCAUGUGUAGCGGUGAAAUGCGCAGAGAUAUGGAGGAACACCAGUGGCGAAGGCGACUUUCUGGUCUGUAACUGACGCUGAUGUGCGAAAGCGUGGGGAUCAAACAGGAUUAGAUACCCUGGUAGUCCACGCCGUAAACGAUGAGUGCUAAGUGUUAGGGGGUUUCCGCCCCUUAGUGCUGCAGCUAACGCAUUAAGCACUCCGCCUGGGGAGUACGACCGCAAGGUUGAAACUCAAAGGAAUUGACGGGGACCCGCACAAGCGGUGGAGCAUGUGGUUUAAUUCGAAGCAACGCGAAGAACCUU